UACGCAGGUGGCAAGCGUUGUCCGGAAUUAUUGGGCGCAAAGCGCAUGUAGGCGGCGGUUUAAGACUGUCGUGAAACUGCGGGGCUCAGCCCCGUAUGGCGAUGGAAACUGGAUUGCUUGAGUGCAGGAGAGGUAAGGGGAACUCCCAGUGUAGCGGUGAAAUGCGCAGAUAUUGGGAAGAACACCGGUGGCGAAGGCGCCUUUCUGGACUGUGUCUGACGCUGAGAUGCGAAAGCCAGGGUAGCGAACG
Molecule: ribosomal RNA, 250 nt
Filed under: uncultured prokaryote
Description: partial 16S ribosomal RNA
Rfam family: Bacterial small subunit ribosomal RNA
Source: RNAcentral